This is a long non-coding RNA of Phocoena sinus (vaquita), 3941 nucleotides long. Ensembl lists it as uncharacterized. Lineage: Eukaryota; Metazoa; Chordata; Mammalia; Artiodactyla; Phocoenidae. The record is from Ensembl.
GAUUAAGUAGUAGCUGGCUAGCCCUGGAACAACCUGAAGGCUUUUUGGGUAAACGUAGAGCCAGCGUUCUGAGGAAAAAAAGAAGGGUCUAGGAAAGCAGGCCUUAUAUAGCGGUAGCCAAAUGGAGUGAGAAAAGGUGGAACAGAACUGGGUCUUUUUUGCCUGUGUUGUCGUACGGAGCAUAUCCCUUGAAUUUCUAAAGCUGCAACCACCUCUCUGUUUAUGAUGAAUGAAGUCAGGAAAUCUCACGGGCUGUACAUUAAUGAAAGGAAGCAUUUGGAAAGUCAUCUGAUUUCCUCUUAUAGUGUCAUCUCCAGAUGCCUUUGUGUGAUGCAAGGUAAUACGGCAGCCUUUCCGGGAAGAGGGAGCCACAAUACCAGCGGCCGUUACUGAGCAGACAGCAUGGACCAGGGACUCUGCCAGCAUUGCAAUAGUGGAGAUGGAGCCUGCAUCCCCGCGCCUUGACUUUGAGCUUAGCCAAUGGAAAGACUGCAAACUUGAUUGGAGCUUGAAAGCUUUAAGGGUACCUGAGUGUUGGGGCUUGACCUCUGAGGCUUCUGUGAUUCACCAUGAGAAAAAUGUGCCUCAGUAGCUGCUGGUCCAAGGAGAAUGAAGAAACACAUGGAGCAGACCGAAAACCAGCCUGCAGCCUGGAACCAAGCCCUCCUAACCUCAGGGGAAUCCGACCAAGCCAGAGCUGACCCACAGACCUGUGCAUGAAAAAAACAGAUGCUUACUGCUGCAGGCUCCUGAGAAUUGGGGGGUUGCUAUGUGGCAAUAACUAAGUAACACUAUCAGUAAUAACACAUCCUUAGUCUGGAGUCCACAAAUAUCUGUAGUAAGCAACGGACUGUACUUUCCUUAAGCAGUCUUCAUGAAUAUUCAUUUUACCAACAAGCUUUUCAUAAGAAUUGUGCAAUUAUUAGAAUUCCGAAACUAGUCUUCACUGCGGUAUUUAUAAGCAACAUGAAUCAAAUUGAAAAAGUUAAUUUUGCAUGGCUGAAGGUGGUAAGAAAGCAAAUCACUCAUAUCUAUCACAAAAUACAUACAAGAGAGGACAUUUUAAUUCAGUUAUACAAAAAUUUAAAAUCUAAAGCAGGUGACUUGGGAAGAAAACAAGAAGGAAAUAACUUUGCCUUAGGCUUACCUUUUGCCUAGAGCCUACCUAGUUUCUUACUCCUAGAUUUAGGAUUUUUGAUUACGACUGGUUGAGAAGGGGUUAAGCACGGGGCUAGAGCCAGUCCCAGCUGAUGUUAAAGUAGUGCAGAAUAAAAGACAGCAAGACACAAGGCAAACAGAGGCUGAAGAAGAAAGAAAGGAGAGGCUCCUCAGCAAGCCUCUCAUAUCAUUCAUUAACACUAGGAUUUUAUCCUUUGGCUAUUAUAGAAGUUGAUUUUCAUCAGGUUUAGUUAUCCCAAUUUCCAAAGCAUUUUCCAUGUUUCCAUCAUAUUGAGUCUUUUAUAAUAUUUCAAAAUGGAUCUAAUGUGAAAUCCCACUGUUUGUGCAGCCGUAACUAAAAACACCCUGACUCCAUAGAAUUGAAAUUAUUUUUAGAAUGCUAAAAAUUCCCCUGGUGCAAGAGAUAAGGAUGAUCGUGACAUUUUGAAAAGGAAGUGUUUGGUUGGGUUAUGUGUAAAAGAAAGACAGACAGACAGACAGACAGACAGACAGACAGACACACACACACACACACACACACACACACACGGAUCAGAAAGAAUUCAUCAAGAACCAGGAGGACACAGGUUUAUUUUUUCCCAGUAUGAAUCUACACAAAGAGUCAUCACUCUUGCGAUGGAUCAACUAAUGUCAGUAGAGUCUUUAUUAAGAUUUUUCAGGCCACUGAUGAAAGAUACAGAAAUGAUAAAUUUAGAUUCAUUUUAUAAAGCUUUCUAGAUGAGAUUUAAAAAGAAAAGCUAAUCUUAUUCAAACCAGCAAGCACUGUUAUUCAGAAGAAUAAACCCUUUGCAAACAACUUUCUGGUGGCUUCUUUUACACUUUAUUUGAACUCUUGUUUUCAUAACAAGCGGAAACUUUUAUUAUCGUGGUAUUGUAGAAGUAAGUUUAUUUCCUUUAAAGUCUCCUGUAUUCCUGGCAAAGCAUUAGCUUUACUGAAGUUGUCAGACAAAAAUUCUUUGCCAGCUUGAAAAGUCAAACUCUUGUUUCAUUUGGGAAAAAAAUAACUCGCUAAAAAAUUUCUUUCUGUUUGUAACAGAUAGCUUUAAACUACGGUUCUAGCAUAGCUGUUGCAAUUGGAAAUGUUGGAGCAAUGAGUGAAAGAGACAUGCCAUGUGUGAGUGUGGACUAGAAAAUAUGAGUGUGCAAAAACAUAGGUGGAUUCAGCCACAGAGCUAGAGAAAGUGCUAGCACAGUGCAUCAUCCGGUUACCUACCCUUGCCCCCUGAGGCAAGGAAGCUUACGGGCCCCAUGGCCUACGUGGCCCCUUCCAAGGCAAUGUGUUCACAUGGUGCUGUGUUUUUGUAAAAUUUGCAAAAGUAAUAUAUUUCUCCCACAACUAGUUAAGACCACUGUCACUUUCCACUAUGACUUCCCUUUCUUGUAUCGGGUGGCACUAGAGAUGGCCAUGGCAUUUUUGAAAUCUGACUAAGGUGGAGCUGAAGGAGGGAGAGUUUGAUUUCAGUGGCAUAUACCUGUAUUUCAUAUUUAAGUUAUUACUAGCCAUCCUGAUGUAGGAAUGGCUUUCGAGACUACUUCUACCAUCUACUGGGAUGACUCCCUUGAAAUUAUGACAGUGAGGGCCACAGGCAAAAAAUAUUAAUGCGUGCUGUCACACCUAGAAGCACCAGAAGUAUGGAGUAGUGGAGGAGAAAGAAGGCUUGAAAUACAGAAAGCCAGAAGGUACUCUGUGGAACCCUAACCUUCCAGUCCUGAGACACGCAGAACUAUAAGUAGAGGAUUUAGUUCUCAAUAACCCUAAGUCACAAUGGAAGUUCUUUCCCAUCAGGAAGAGACUGACAGCCCAGUGUACAUAAUUAUAAAGGCAUUAUAUCACAUGAAAUAUGUUUCAUGUGCUAUAUAUUUUCAAAUAUAUGAAAUAUAUUUUAAUAGGCUAUAGAUGUAUUUCAUUAUAAAUUUCAUACAUAUCAUUUCACUGUAUAAUUAAACAUAUAUAAGAAAUAUAUGUGACAUAUAUGAACUCAAUAGAAAUAUAUCAUACAUAGGAUAUAGAUUUGAAAUCAAGAGAAAUUAUACUGAUAGGAGAAAUAAGUUAUAACUGAAAGAUUCUUUGAGAUCAUAACAAAAUCAAUAAUACAUGAAGAGGAAGAAAUAAACUUCGAAUAGAAGUGAUGUGCAGACUCUUGGAUUGUUUGCUAAUCCAGUUAAUGAAAAGAAGUAAAUCGUGUAAGCACGUUUGAAGAAAAUUAAAUUUCUUGCCAAUUUGACAAGAAAUACUAAUACUGACAGUGAUUAACACAAAAAUCAUAAUAUAGCGGUAAAUAAGGACAUCAGUGACAAAUUGCUAAAUGAGUGUCAUUAGUUCAAAGAAUGUUUCAGAUUAGUCACCGUGUAAAGAAACUUGAAAUGCCCUGUAUCUGAGAGCUUAUACAUGAAAGAAAUGUGAUAGGUUUUCCAAACUUGACAACAGAUUCUAAAAAUUUACAGGACAGCUUUGGCAGUGAAUGUCAUUUCAACUUGAAAAUGAAUUAGGAAGCUGAAAAUCAAUUUCUAAACUGUCGAUUUUUUAAAAAUUUAAUCAAUCAUGCUAGAUAGAGGAAAGACCUGCAAUUUCCGCUACAGAAAAGAAUUACAAAAUCAUAGUCAUUUGAAGAGUUGAUUAAAGAAAAUUAUAAAGCUGUGUCAGGGAGUUAAUUCACAUAUGUCAUUUUUCUAGAUAUUGUGAUGCUUUUGGUAUUUGCUAACUUUUUAACGUUUGUAAUAUUUUUUUCUCAUUCUAAAUACAUAUUUGAAUUUUUGUACCU